CCUAUUUCUUUUGAGUUUGAUAUUUGUUUUGUUGACAAAUCAAACACUCUCUAAUGUAAGUGUGAACAUCUUUGCAUAUUCCUGGCCAAUUGAAAGAUGCCAUGAUACGAGCCAGAGUUGGUUUCUGCCCAGAGUGACCAGACAUUGGAGUGUCAUGGAAUUCUGCCAUAAUAGCUUGGCGCCAAGAGUUGCUGUCAGAACUUGCGGAAAUCAUCCAAAAGAGCUGGCAUGGGUGAUGACAAAGACAUCAGAAACUGUGGGGGGUCGAAAUUGACACGGGAUAAUGCGUCUGCAACUCUAUUGGUCUUUCCAGAUUGGACUUGCCAGCGAAGAGACAUUUUCUUGCUGAAGAAAGCAAUUGGAUGCCCCCUCUGAGAGAGAACUCCACCCACAGCAAUCCUAGAAGCGUCAGUUUCGACGUCAAAGGGCUGAGAAAAAUCUCGCAAAGCAAGUAUUGGGGCCGAAACGGGGUGGGAAUGGUAGGAGGUUAAUGUGGUGAUCAUGAGGCCUAUGAGGGGGUAACCCAUGAGGUGAAACCCCAAUUACCUGAUUGGAGAUUCGUUCAAACCGAGUCUAAAAUUCUGCAACAGUGGAAAUUUGUCUGAGUUUGAAAAGCUCUUGCUGAUGGUUCUCAUAAGCAGAAGGCCCAAAACGGAUCUGAAGAGCCCUGGUAAAAGCAUCCAUGUUGUCAACAGAAAGUUGUUGUGCAUCCAUUUAAACCAGCCUAGUGCCUCACCCUUCAUGUAGAAAGAGACCAUAUCCAGCUUCUGCUCAGAAGGUGUUUGAUAACAUUGAAAGAACUGAUCUGCCUGAAACAGCCAGUCCAAGGGUCCAGUACCAUCAAAGGGGGUAAGUUGCAGUUUGGGGGGUUUAGGGGUAUGAUGGGUAUGGUGGUAAAUGGGGUUUUGAUGUGAGAUCUGGGUGUUAUGAAACCCAGGUGGAGGGCGUAUUGGAGAGGAGGUUGAGGGUGUGAAUGGAGGUGGGUGAGAGGUAUGAGUUGUGGAGAAGAGGACAUGAGGUUCACUUUGUCAAGGAGACCUGCAAGCACAGAGGAAAGAGCUUCCUGGUUGCUGUUGAGUCUCUCCAUAGACUCCAACAAAUCAGCAUAAGCAAAAGGACCCGUAGGAGGCAUGGUAACAGUGAUGAAAGCACCAAUUUGGUAGGAAAAAUCCUUCCCACCAAGGAACCCUAGCCGAGCUACUCUAGAACAGUGAAGAAAUAUAACGAGAAAGAUAAAUUAUUGGCUGAAGCCGUUUUCUUUGAUAGAUAGGAAAGUAACAACAGUACAAUACUUAUACUUGUAAAAAUAAAAACCCUACAGUGGUUUCCCAUAUGUUUGGCUUAAUCCAAUGUUAGUUAAAUUUCCUUA
Long non-coding RNA from Lotus japonicus, 1369 nucleotides. RefSeq lists it as uncharacterized. The transcript is spliced from 4 exons. The record is from RefSeq and is a predicted model, not a curated record. Lineage: Eukaryota; Viridiplantae; Streptophyta; Magnoliopsida; Fabales; Fabaceae.